GGUUACAGCCAUACCACCUUAGGCACGCCCGAUCUCGGCUGAUCUUGGAAGCUAAGCAGGGUCGGGCCUGGUUAGUACUUGGAUGGGUGACCGCCUGGGAAUACCAGGUGCUGUAAGCA
This is a ribosomal RNA of Gadus morhua (Atlantic cod), 119 nucleotides long. Lineage: Eukaryota; Metazoa; Chordata; Actinopteri; Gadiformes; Gadidae. The record is from Ensembl.